GACGUAGGGCGCGAGCGUUGUCCGGAAUUACUGGGCGUAAAGGGCUCGUAGGCUGCCAACUAAGUUAGACGUGAAAUUCCUCGGCUUAAUCGGGGAACUGCGUCUGAUACUGGAUGGCUUGAGAUCGGGAGAGGGAUGCGGAAUUCCAGGUGUAGCGGUGAAAUGCGUAGAUAUCUGGAGGAACACCGGUGGCGAAGGCGGCAUCCUGGACCGACACUGACGCUGAGGAGCGAAAGCCAGGGGAGCAAACGGG
Molecule: ribosomal RNA, 253 nt
Filed under: uncultured bacterium
Lineage: Bacteria
Description: partial 16S ribosomal RNA
Rfam family: Bacterial small subunit ribosomal RNA
Source: RNAcentral